UGGGGAAUAUUGCACAAUGGGCGCAAGCCUGAUGCAGCCAUGCCGCGUGUAUGAAGAAGGCCUUCGGGUUGUAAAGUACUUUCAGCGAGGAGGAAGGCGGUAAGGUUAAUAACCUUAUCGAUUGACGUUACUCGCAGAAGAAGCACCGGCUAACUCCGUGCCAGCAGCCGCGGUAAUACGGAGGGUGCAAGCGUUAAUCGGAAUUACUGGGCGUAAAGCGCACGCAGGCGGUCUGUCAAGGCGGAUGUGAAAUCCCCGGGCUCAACCUGGGAACUGCAUUCGAAACUGGCAGGCUAGAGUCUUGUAGAGGGGGGUAGAAUGCCAGGUGUAGCGGUGAAAUGCGUAGAGAUCUGGAGGAAUACCGGUGGCGAAGGCGGCCCCCUGGACAAAGACUGACGCUCAGGUGCGAAAGCGUGGGGAGCAAACA
Molecule: ribosomal RNA, 427 nt
Filed under: uncultured bacterium
Lineage: Bacteria
Description: partial 16S ribosomal RNA
Rfam family: Bacterial small subunit ribosomal RNA
Source: RNAcentral